AGAGGGAAACAGCCCAGACCACCAGCUAAGGUCCCCAAAUCAUCGCUAAGUGAUAAAGGAGGUGAGACUGCAUAGACAACUAGGAGGUUUGCCUAGAAGCAGCCACCCUUGAAAGAGUGCGUAAUAGCUCACUAGUCAAGCGGUCUUGCGCCGAAAAUGAACGGGGCUAAGCGAUGUACCGAAGCUGUGGGAUUAAGAAAUUAAUCGGUAGGGGAGCGUUCCGUGGUAGGGAGAAGCAGUAGCGGCGAGCAGCUGUGGACGAAACGGAAGUGAGAAUGUCGGCUUGAGUAGCGCAAACAUUGGUGAGAAUCCAAUGCCCCGAAACCCUAAGGGUUCCAGAGCCAGGUUCGUCCACUCUGGGUUAGUCGGGACCUAAGGCGAGGCCGAAAGGCGUAGUCGAUGGACACCGGGUGACUAUUCCCGGACUAUGAUGUGGGAGCAUUGCUAGGGACGCAUGAAAGAUAGCUACACCCUAAUUGGUUUGGGAGGG
This 490-nucleotide ribosomal RNA is filed under the name Trichormus randhawae UTEX B 1823. RNAcentral describes it as "bacterial LSU rRNA". It matches the Rfam family "Bacterial large subunit ribosomal RNA", at positions 1014 to 1513 of the family's 2925-position model. The record is from RNAcentral. Lineage: Bacteria; Bacillati; Cyanobacteriota; Cyanophyceae; Nostocales; Nostocaceae.